Molecule: ribosomal RNA, 468 nt
Filed under: uncultured bacterium
Lineage: Bacteria
Description: partial 16S ribosomal RNA
Rfam family: Bacterial small subunit ribosomal RNA
Source: RNAcentral
GAUGAACGCUGGCGGCGUGCCUAACACAUGCAAGUCGAGCGAUUCUCUUCGGAGAAGAGCGGCGGACGGGUGAGUAACGCGUGGGUAACCUGCCCUGUACACACGGAUAACACACCGAAAGGUAUGCUAAUACGAGAUAACAUAAGAAAUUCGCAUGUUUUUCUUAUCAAAGCUCCGGCGGUACAGGAUGGACCCGCGUCUGAUUAGCUAGUUGGUGAGGUAACGGCUCACCAAGGCGACGAUCAGUAGCCGACCUGAGAGGGUGAUCGGCCACAUUGGAACUGAGACACGGUCCAAACUCCUACGGGAGGCAGCAGUGGGGAAUAUUGCACAAUGGGCGAAAGCCUGAUGCAGCAACGCCGCGUGAGCGAUGAAGGCCUUCGGGUCGUAAAGCUCUGUCCUCAAGGAAGAUAAUGACGGUACUUGAGGAGGAAGCCCCGGCUAGCUACGUGCCAGCAGCCGCAGUAA